RNAcentral lists this ribosomal RNA (479 nucleotides) under uncultured bacterium. RNAcentral describes it as "partial 16S ribosomal RNA". It matches the Rfam family "Bacterial small subunit ribosomal RNA", at positions 28 to 523 of the family's 1533-position model. The record is from RNAcentral.
GACGAACGCUGGCGGCGUGCCUAACACAUGCAAGUCGAGCGGAGAUACCAGCAAUGGUAUCCUAGCGGCGGACGGGUGAGUAACACGUAAGCAAUCUGGUCCUUACAGGGGAAUAACAUUGAGCAAUCAGUGCUAAUACCGCAUAAGACCACAAUGUCUCAUGACGAAGUGGUAAAAGGAGCAAUCCGGUAGGGAAUGAGCUUGCGUCCCAUUAGCGAGUUGGAGGGGGAAUGGCCCACCAAGGCAACGAUGGGUGGCCGGACUGAGAGGUUGAACGGCCCAACGGGGACUGAGACACGGCCCAGACUCCUACGGGAGGAAGCAGUGGGGAAUAUUGGGCAAUGGGGGAAACCCUGACCCAGCAACGCCGCGUGAGAGAAGAAGGUCUUCGGAUUGUAAAUCUCUGUCUUUGGGGACGAAAAAAAUGACGGUACCCAAAGAGGAAGCCCCGGCUAACUACGUGCCAGCCGCCGCCGUAA